RNAcentral lists this non-coding RNA (28 nucleotides) under Rattus norvegicus (Norway rat). Lineage: Eukaryota; Metazoa; Chordata; Mammalia; Rodentia; Muridae. The record is from RNAcentral.
UGGACUAACAAGUCUAUUUAAGGCACGU